CGUACCUCUGUAUAGUCAGCUGUUUCUUGGCAGAUUCUACAACAGCACAUACUGGAACGUGAUGACCAGGCUGGCAGAGGGAGAAGAAACUUCCUCGGGCUCAGGUUGAUUCGUUAUUCCCACGUGUUGUUUCUGAGAUCAUUACCCUAGCAACAACCUUUUACCCUAGCAACCUUCUUCAUGGCAACCCCCACAGAGCCUUCCUGUAAGCCCAGUUGCAUCCAGUUUGCAGCUGCCAAAGAUGUUACCUCUGCCUCAGAGUUCUCAUCCUAGGCUGCGGUUUUUGAAAGAUUCCCAUCUCUCCGGUUUUCAGCCAGCAUUCUUAGGGUGGUAGCUGCUUCAGAAAUUUUGUCUCCAUGAUGAGAUGAGUGGAGGGGAAAGAAGGUUUGUCAUUGCUCUUUAGGUUUUUUUGUUGCUGAGUAAGUGAAAAGAAAUGGAAAAUGAGGUUCUUCCAAUUUCAAACUGUUUCAAUAUGGUUACUCACAUGCCCUACAGAGAAUUCCAGAAGGCAUGAACCCAGUCACAAAUCGCUACACAUCAGCAUUUUGCAUAAAAAGAAAACAUCCAUAUCUGACUCAAGCAACAAUGAAAUCAAUACAGAAACAUUUCCAGAGAAGUCCUGCAGGUUUUUUAUGCAUUUACAGCUACUAUUUCCUGCAAAAAAUCUUCUGACUGUUUAAUAAAUCAACUUUAGAUCCACAA
Long non-coding RNA from Peromyscus eremicus (cactus mouse), 702 nucleotides. RefSeq lists it as uncharacterized. The transcript has 2 exons. NCBI's taxonomy places the organism in Eukaryota, Metazoa, Chordata, Mammalia, Rodentia, Cricetidae. The record is from RefSeq and is a predicted model, not a curated record.